UGGCUCUCCAAGCGCUGGUGUGGAGCAGGAACUUGUGCUUCACGACAUUAAUCUCUGCCAUAGCGGUUUCCAGAGGAAGAAAAAGAUAAAGAAGCCAGUAGCUGCAUGCUGCAGGUGAGAUCAGUCGCACCCAGCAGCUGACAGGCCUCAGGCUAGGAGGGAGCAUCUUAAAAUUGGCUCCUCCUUACACCUACUGACUGCAGCUGUGGAAUACCAAAGAGGUGGCAUUGCUUUUCCUUCACCUCCCUGACUCUGCUCCUCUGGGUCUUUUUGCCCUAUCCAUGACCACAAACCUUUCCUGUAGGCAGGCCCCUGGUGGUUUUGCCCGUGCUGCAGGCAUUCUUCCUUUCCCAUUCAGUGUCCUCUGCAGGAAUCUUCCCCAAUGCAGCUUGAAUACCCUCUGAAGCGAGUCUUCUGCCACUGCCCUGAGUGGUGCUCCAGCUGGGGACAGGGAGGAGGAGGGUGAAACGUGUGCGGUGCCUGCAGCACGCGGCUGCUGGAGCCACCUGCCUUCGCCAUGUGAAUCCUUCUGGUUAUUCAUGGAUGGGGCCAGGUUUGGCAGACCUGGACGGGCAGAGGCUCUCGGAGCUGCAGAGCAGAUGUUCGCCUGUCUGGGGUGCCAGCAGAGGAAUUUGGGAUCUAUCUUCCCAGCCCGUUUGCUGGGCUGGCCAGAAGGACAGCGGGCAGGAGGAGGUGGCCCUGCAGAGGGGGGUGCAGCCUCCUUCCCUCCUGGGGCUGCGCUCCUUGUUCAGCACAACCGCACAUCUCCUGCUGGUGUUUCAGCUCAGCAAGUAAUUCUGGCUUCCAGCUGCUUGGGGGUGAAACCAACAUCCCGGCAGAAAUUUCCUCGAGCUGGAGUCCCCAGGGGCCCUGACGGUGUGCGUGCAGACAGGCGUUACCCCACUGCUCUGAGACACCUGCGCGAGGCUGGUAGACACGACACGGGACAUGCAGGACCUGGUGGCGACUGCAGAGGCUCGGGGAGAUGGAUCCUGGUUGUGUUGGGGCGGACACCCUAUCAAAAGAAAACUUCUGAGAUAAGCUGUGCUGCCGGUCACCGCUUCAAACAGCCCCAGCUUAUCGGGUCCAGCCCAGACACAGGCAGGAGAGGAGCUGAACGCGGCCACGUCAGGCUACGGUGGACGUUUCCUGCCAGAAGGAGCCCAGGACGAGCAGAAACCUGCAGCUGGCUGACAAGUGGCCUGCCCAGAGCCGAAAGUGAGAGGUGACUUCUCCAUCGAG
This is a long non-coding RNA of Anser cygnoides (Swan goose), 1242 nucleotides long. Lineage: Eukaryota; Metazoa; Chordata; Aves; Anseriformes; Anatidae. The record is from Ensembl.